CCUACGGGUGGCAGCAGUGAGGAAUAUUGGUCAAUGGCCGGGAGGCUGAACCAGCCAAGUCGCGUGAGGGAAGACGGCCCUACGGGUUGUAAACCUCUUUUGUCAGGGAGCAAAGUGCAGGUCGGGACCUGCUGUGAGAGUACCUGACGAAGAAGCAUCGGCUAACUCCGUGCCAGCAGCCGCGGUAAUACGGAGGAUGCGAGCGUUAUCCGGUGUUAUUGGGGUGAAGGGGUGCGGAGGCGGAGGACAGAGUGAGCGGGAAAAACGCGGGGCUCAACCCCGAUCCGCCGUUGAAACUGUGUCCCUUGAGUGCGAGAAGGGUAGGCGGAAUGCGUGGUGGAGCGGUGAAAUGCAUAGAUAUCACGGAGAACUCCGAUCGCGAAGGCAGCCUACCGGCGCGCAACUGACGGUCAGGCACGAAAGCGUGGGGAUCGAACAGGAUUAGAUACCCUUGUAGUC
This 459-nucleotide ribosomal RNA is filed under the name uncultured bacterium. Its description in RNAcentral is "partial 16S ribosomal RNA". It matches the Rfam family "Bacterial small subunit ribosomal RNA", at positions 338 to 795 of the family's 1533-position model. The record is from RNAcentral.